AGAGUUUGAUCCUGGCUCAGAUUGAACGCUGGCGGAAUGCUUUACACAUGCAAGUCAAACGGCAGCACGGGAGCUUGCUCCUGGUGGCGAGUGGCGAACGGGUGAGUAAUGCGUCGGAACGUACCGAGUAAUGGGGGAUAACGCGGCGAAAGUCGCGCUAAUACCGCAUACGCCCUGAGGGGGAAAGCGGGGGAUCGCAAGACCUCGCGUUAUUCGAGCGGCCGACGUCUGAUUAGCUAGUUGGUGGGGUAAAGGCUCACCAAGGCGACGAUCAGUAGCGGGUCUGAGAGGAUGAUCCGCCACACUGGGACUGAGACACGGCCCAGACUCCUACGGGAGGCAGCAGUGGGGAAUUUUGGACAAUGGGGGCAACCCUGAUCCAGCCAUUCCGCGUGAGUGAAGAAGGCCUUCGGGUUGUAAAGCUCUUUCAGCUGGAGCGAAACGGUACGCUCUAACAUAGCGUGCUAAUGACGGUACCAGCAGAAGAAGCACCGGCUAACUACGUGCCAGCAGCCGCGGUAAUACGUAGGGUGCGAGCGUUAAUCGGAAUUACUGGGCGUAAAGCGUGCGCAGGCGGAUUGUUAAGCAAGACGUGAAAUCCCCGGGCUUAACCUGGGAAUGGCGUUUUGAACUGGCAGUCUAGAGUGCGUCAGAGGGGGGUGGAAUUCCACGUGUAGCAGUGAAAUGCGUAGAGAUGUGGAGGAACACCGAUGGCGAAGGCAGCCCCCUGGGAUGACACUGACGCUCAUGUACGAAAGCGUGGGUAGCAAACAGGAUUAGAUACCCUGGUAGUCCACGCCCUAAACGAUGUCAACUGGUUGUUGGGGGAGUGAAAUCCCUUAGUAACGAAGCUAACGCGUGAAGUUGACCGCCUGGGGAGUACGGUCGCAAGAUU
This 895-nucleotide ribosomal RNA is filed under the name uncultured bacterium. RNAcentral describes it as "bacterial SSU rRNA". It matches the Rfam family "Bacterial small subunit ribosomal RNA", at positions 8 to 895 of the family's 1533-position model. The record is from RNAcentral.